AGAGAUUGAUCCUGGCUCAGGAUGAACGCUAGCGGGAGGCCUAACACAUGCAAGUCGAACGGGAUUGAGAGCUUGCUCUCAUGAGAGUGGCGCACGGGUGAGUAACGCGUAUGCAACCUACCUAUAACUGAGGGAUAGCCCAUAGAAAUGUGGAUUAAUACCUCAUAGUUCUUUUGUUCCGCAUGGGAUGAAAGAUAAAGCUCCGGCGGUUAUAGAUGGGCAUGCGUGACAUUAGCUAGUUGGUAAGGUGACGGCUUACCAAGGCUACGAUGUCUAGGGGUUCUGAGAGGAUGAUCCCCCACACUGGUACUGAGACACGGACCAGACUCCUACGGGAGGCAGCAGUGAGGAAUAUUGGUCAAUGGGCGCAAGCCUGAACCAGCCAUCCCGCGUGCAGGAUGAAGGCCCUAUGGGUCG
Molecule: ribosomal RNA, 417 nt
Filed under: uncultured bacterium
Lineage: Bacteria
Description: bacterial SSU rRNA
Rfam family: Bacterial small subunit ribosomal RNA
Source: RNAcentral